GAGUGGCGAACGGGUGAUUAAUACAUCGGAACGUGCCCUGUAGUGGGGGAUAACUAGUCGAAAGAUUAGCUAAUACCGCAUACGACCUGAGGGUGAAAGUGGGGGACCGCAAGGCCUCAUGCUAUAGGAGCGGCCGAUGUCUGAUUAGCUAGUUGGUGGGGUAAAGGCCUACCAAGGCGACCAUCACUAGCUGGUCUGAGAGGACGAUCAGCCACACUGGGACUGAGACACCGCCCACACUCCUACGGGAGGCAGCAGUGGGGAAUUUUGGACAAUGGGCGAAAGCCUGAUCCAGCAAUGCCGCGUGUGUGAAGAAGGCCUUCGGGUUGUAAAGCACUUUUGUGCGGAAAGAAAUGGCUCUGGUUAAUACCUGGGGUCGAUGACGGUACCGGAAGAAUAAGGACUGGCUAACUACGUGCCACCAGCCGCGGUAAUACGUAGGGUCCAAGCGUUAAUCGGAAUUACUGGGCGUAAAGCGUGCGCAGGCGGUUGUGCAAGACCGAUGUGAAAUCCCCGAGCUUAACUUGGGAAUUGCAUUGGUGACUGCACGGCUAGAGUGUGUCAGAGGGGGGUAGAAUUCCACGUGUAGCAGUGAAAUGCGUAGAGAUGUGGAGGAAUACCGAUGGCCAAGGCAGCCCCCUGGGAGAACACUGACGCUCAUGCACGAAAGGGUGGGGAGCAAACACGAUUAGAUACCUUGGUAGUCCACCCCCGCCCCUAAACGAUCUCACUAGUUGGAUUCAUUUCCUGUCGAAAAAACGUAGCUAAGCGUGAGAGUUGACCGCCUUUGGGGAGUACGGGUCGCAAGAUUAAACGGGGACCCGCACAAGCGGUGGAAGAUGUGGAUUAAUUCGAUGCUUCGCGAAA
Molecule: ribosomal RNA, 867 nt
Filed under: Ralstonia sp. WS15
Lineage: Bacteria; Pseudomonadati; Pseudomonadota; Betaproteobacteria; Burkholderiales; Burkholderiaceae
Description: bacterial SSU rRNA
Rfam family: Bacterial small subunit ribosomal RNA
Source: RNAcentral